RNAcentral lists this ribosomal RNA (490 nucleotides) under uncultured bacterium. RNAcentral's name for it is "partial 16S ribosomal RNA". It matches the Rfam family "Bacterial small subunit ribosomal RNA", at positions 30 to 507 of the family's 1533-position model. The record is from RNAcentral.
AUUGAACGCUGGCGGCAGGCCUAACACAUGCAAGUCGAACGGUAACAGGAAGCAGCUUGCUGCUUCGCUGACGAGUGGCGGACGGGUGAGUAAUGUCUGGGAAACUGCCUGAUGUAGGGGGAUAACUACUGGAAACGGUAGCUAUUACCGCAUAACGUCGCAAGACCAAAGAGGGGGACCUUAGGGCCUCUUGCCAUCGGAUGUGCCCAGAUGGGAUUAGCUAGUAGGUGGGGUAACGGCUCACCUAGGCGACGAUCCGUAGCUGGUCUGAGAGGAUGACCAGCCACACUGGAACUGAGACACGGUCCAGACUCCUACGGGAGGCAGCAGUGGGGAAUAUUGGACAAUGGGCGCAAGCCUGAUGCAGCCAUGCCGCGUGUAUGAAGAAGGCCUUCGGGUUGUAAAGUACUUUCAGCGGGGAGGAAGGGAGUAAAGUUAAUACCUUGGCUCAUUGACGUUACCCGCAGAAGAAGCACCGGCUAACUACGUG